AAGUCGUAACAAGGUUUCCGUAGGUGAACCUGCGGAAGGAUCAUUACCGAGAGAGGGGCCUCGCGCUCCGGGGGUUUCGGCCCCCAUCUCUUCACCCUGUGUGUACCUAUCUUUGUUGCUUUGGCGGACCUCGGGGGUCUUCCUUCGCACCGGCUUCCGGGUCGGUGAGUGUCCGUCAGAGGCCCAUCUAAAUUCCGUUUAUCAGUGUUGUCCGAGUCCAAAACAAAUAAGUAAAAACUUUCAACAACGGAUCUCUUGGUUCCA
RNAcentral lists this unclassified non-coding RNA (264 nucleotides) under air metagenome. RNAcentral describes it as "partial contains small subunit ribosomal RNA, internal transcribed spacer 1, and 5.8S ribosomal RNA". The stretch from base 1 to 46 matches the Rfam family "Eukaryotic small subunit ribosomal RNA", at positions 1786 to 1831 of the family's 1831-position model. The record is from RNAcentral.